RNAcentral lists this ribosomal RNA (1035 nucleotides) under Triticum aestivum (bread wheat). Its description in RNAcentral is "partial small subunit ribosomal RNA". The record is from RNAcentral. Lineage: Eukaryota; Viridiplantae; Streptophyta; Magnoliopsida; Poales; Poaceae.
AACCACGCUCGCACACCGCAGGUAUCCACCCACUCGUCUUUGUGUUGCGUGCCCCGCCAAACCCCCGCAACUCUUUCCCCGAUCCGGCGGCGACCACGACCUCCUCGCCGGCCCCAGCGCCACCGCCGCGCCAUGGACCCGGAGGCGGUGCGGAGGACCCUCGAGCCCACCGCUUCCGCCGCGGACAUCUCGGGCUCCACCCCUUACGACUCCUUCGUCAUCAGCGGCGUCCGCCUCGAGGCCGCCGAGCACGGCCGCGUCCUCUGCUCCUUCGUCGUCACCCCCCGUAUCGCCAGUCCCCAAGGGUACCUUCUCAGCGGCGUCACGGCAACGCUCGCCGACCAGUUGGGCUCGGCCGUGUUCUUCUCCAGCGGGGUGGGCACGAGCGGGGUCUCCCUCGAGAUCAGCGUGUCCUACGUCGACACCGCCGCCGUCGGGGAAGAAAUAGAGGUUGAGGCGAAGCUAUUGCGUGCUGGAAAAUCAGUGGGUGUUGUCUCUGUUGAUUUCAGGAAGAAAAGGAGCGGCAAAUUGAUGGCUCAGGCGCGUCAUACAAAGUACCUUGCUGUAUCUAGCAGAUUGUGAGGAUUCCCUUCAGUUGUAAGAUAAAAACAUGGUUCUGUCGAGCUCUUCGCUGCCCUUUAUCAAUAGACAACAUCAGCACAACGUAGUGCUACAUUGUUUAAGAAAGGCUGGCUAUAUCUAUCUGAAAUUCUGCAACACAUAUUGCUCUGCUCAUUUCAUUUUCGCCUUUCAACCUUUGUCAGAUACUAAUAUCUUCGAAAGAGUACAGUGCCUGUUUGGACUUUGGAAGGCAGGAACUGCACAGAAAAUGGCGUAAGUCCUCUGAAUUUCAUGCCAAAUUCCAGCCAGCAUUCCAAACAAGGCCCUAAGAAAGACGGGGCAGCUGGAAAGUAUAACACCUGUAAAAUCCUAUUGUAUUGAUGCUUAAUCUUCAACUGAUGGAUUACUGUAGUCUGCCCUCAUCUUGAGGGAGACAGAUUUCCCCCUCGUUCAUUAUUGUAUAAUUGGCGUGGU